Marmota monax (woodchuck) is the source of this 3270-nucleotide long non-coding RNA. RefSeq lists it as uncharacterized. NCBI's taxonomy places the organism in Eukaryota, Metazoa, Chordata, Mammalia, Rodentia, Sciuridae. The record is from RefSeq and is a predicted model, not a curated record. The transcript is spliced from 4 exons.
CAGCUUGUGGCCUGCUCUGGGAAGUCAGGCCUGUGAGGAUCUUCUCUCCCAUUCCACACAUAUCCCCUCUCACACACCCCUCAUCCUGGGAUCCCCAAAGAUGGGAGUGAGGCAUGAUGUGCAGGUGCUUCUGAGGUCUGCCUUUGUAUCUGAGAUGCUGCUUUUAUACAGGAAAAAAAACGACUCUCCCCUGCCAUGUUGGAGACACAAGGCCGUGGUCUUGGGUGUGGGUGCUGCUACUCUGCCAGCUUUGGUGAUCCUAGGUUUCCCACUAGGACAGUUUGGAAUUCUGAAGUCAGGCCUAUGGAUCGAGGAAGCCCCCAGUGAUACUGCCCCAAAGCCACUGGACUCAGGAGGCCUUUCCAUGAGUCCACAGUCCAGCUAAAGAGAUAAGAAGAGAAAGUGGGAAGGUGAAUGGAACUGAAGACAGGAACAAGGCCUAUGUGAAAGUCGGGGUGCAGAGGAGCUCCCCUGUGGGCUGCUGAAAUAUGGGCUCCCUGAGAGGGUGCUGGGAGCCCUGCUGAGUGACAGGUGACUUUGGCUUGCUCUUCCUGCUGUAGCCUGAUUCUAGUCACUCAGAUCCAGCCCCUCCACCCUGCUCCUGUCAAUGCAGCCCAUGCAGGGUCCCCUCUCACUGGGAUAAGCUGCUCUUCCACUCAGAUGUCCCUCUGGGCUUUCUCCAUGUCCUUCUCUUCUGUCAGCCAUCAAAACCCAGCGGAGACCAAAUAGAAGGCCUUCCACGCACCUUCACGUGGGACCUCGGCUCCUUCUCCUUGGUUCCACAGCAGCCCAUGUCUCGACAGGGUUCUCCAUCCUCGAGGAGACCCCAGGAAGCCAGCGAACCCCAGCCCUGGCUCUCAGUCUCUUGGGAUGGGGCUUGGGAACCUGUUUUCCUUCAUCUUCACACACCCUUUGGAUUCCAGGCCAGGAUUGGGUAUGUCUUUUCUGGGUCUGGGCACAGGGCUUAGGUCAUGGUGACUGCAUGUCACUGUGCCCAGACAGCCCCCUAGGCUUUGGCAAAGAAGGGAAGCAGAGUAGGAGGCCCAGGCCUUUUAAUUUGCACCAUUUUCAUUCGUUUAUGUUUCCCUCUCCAUAUCCCAGACACCAUCCUGGGUCCUGGGGUACGAGAGCAAAACGUAAUCCCUGAUCUCGUUGGCUGCACAUGGCACAUAGUCCGGUGGGAGAGACCUGGUGCAUCAGAUUCCUCAUGUGUUCCAUGACAAAGAGCAACAAGGGUCUAACAAAGGUGCUCAGAGAAGCCAUGGUGGGAUCCUGGUGCAGGUCUGAGCCCCUCAGGUCACCCAGGAUGGUUUCUAAGACAAACUUCUUCUCACAGCACCCCGCCCCCCACCAGCCCCUGCCAGCCUUCACUACUGGUCUCCUGAAUCUGCUCUUUGUGUCAGCUUUUGGAAAUGGUAUGUUUUUAAACAGAGAAGAGACCCAUUCUGUUCAUGCCAGAGUCUGUCUGCUAGCAUAUACAGUGCCCUACUGAAUUCCGAAGAGGUGCACUGUCAUUUGAACAGACAAAACCUUGGCACAUGACUUGGCCAGUCUGGCAGGCUGGACUUGAGCCCCUAUCCACUCCUUCCAACCCACGCCCCUCAGCCAAGUGUACUUGUACAGUGAGCAAAUUGGACAACCAUCUGUGGGAAUCCUGCUAGAGACUCCUCUUGAGCAGAACGUUCUGGCUUCUUGGCACAUCCUCACAGCUAGAAGAUUCCUGUAUCCUACAAGGACAUAAUUAUAUCUUCUAUAGGCAUAAAUCUAAAGAUUUAAACAGGAAUUUAUAUGCAUUUUUUGAAGAAUUGGGUAUUUUUCUUACCUAAAUGGAAACAUGGCUUAUUUAUAUAUGGUCCAAGGGAGUUCUUUCAUAUGGUAAUUAACUCACAUACCCUGGAUAAGCCCUAGACUUGGCAUAAGGUUCAAAGCAGAAAUUGGGUUGAGAUGAGACACAGGGAUGUUUCUGGAUCAAAUUUGCUGUUAGCCACUGACACUGGGGUAAUUUGGCUCUCUGAGUGGCAGUGAGUCUCAAAAACCUGGUGAAACAACAUCUUUGGAAAGAAAGCUCAAAAUGUCUUUAACUAGAAAGAAUGGAGGAGGCCUUGCUAUGUUUGGGAGCUAGAAAGAGAAGCAUUUUGCGGUGGAAGAUGAAUCUCAUCCCACGCUGGCCACAUCAGUGGCUUUGAACUGGAGUGGCCCUGGAGAGACCCCUCGCCCAGAUCCUUUCAUCUACCAAUGGGGAAGCUGGGACUCAGAGAGAGAAAGCGGAUUGGCUUAGGCCACAGGUUUAACACACAUCGAAACCCAGCAGGUCUUCCAACACCAGCAAUUUGCAUUUUCUGAAGCCACCUCAGUGAGCAGCUCUGAAAUAAAUUAAAAAGAAUGGUCAAGGCUGAAUGCACACGGAGGUUUCCAUGUGCUCAACUCAGCAGAUUCAGCAUGGUGGCAGAGCCGUGCAGGGGACAGCAUUGGUCAAAGGAAGCUCCAAGACCCGAAUUCAUGCCCUGCUCCACCCUCGAUGGGCAGUGUUAUCAGGGGACGGUUCCAUGGAUCAACCAAACACAACUUUGUAAUUGCUCUGGCACCUGACACGGGACACCUGACGCCUGGCCUUCUCUGGAGAGGAAAAUUCUGUCCCACUGUGGGAAAACCACCGCUGUGAGCAGAAGAUGGCUCAGGGGUGGCCAAGCUAGUCUUGUAUCCAUUUCCAGAGGAAAAAUAAAGCUGAUAGUUUUUGUUCUCUCAAUUAAGACUUUUCUCCUAUAAUAUUUUUUUUUGAGGAGCUGGGGGUAUAGCUCAGUGGUAGAGUAUAUGCCUAGCAUGCAGGAGCUGAUGUCCACCCCCCACCUGCCCCAAAUUUCUUUAAAACAUAUGAUACCUAAUGUUAGUCUGAUAUGUUAGAACUCCAUAUGAGACUCAGACUUAGUACUGAUUAUGUAUUUAACUAUCUUAAGUUCUCUGUAUCACCAUUUCAGCAGACACUGUUUCAGGAGAUUAAGACUACAACAACCUAGGUCUGUGUUUCAAAGUUCCCAGGUGAUUCUGCAACACCGCUGUGCACACAGGUUGAGACCACCAUUGUAGCAUGUUCCAAAGUGGCAGUUCUCAGACUUUGCUGCCAUCAGAAUCACUUGUGCAGUUUUAAAAACUUCCAAUGGCAAGGCCAUAUCUCAGACCACUAAACUCAGAGGGCACCUGCCCAUCAAUGGGCCUUAAAGGUCAGGCAAGGUGGUGCAUGCUUGUAAUUCCAGCAGCUUGGGAGGCUGAGGA